Long non-coding RNA from Styela clava, 253 nucleotides. RefSeq lists it as uncharacterized. The record is from RefSeq and is a predicted model, not a curated record. Lineage: Eukaryota; Metazoa; Chordata; Ascidiacea; Stolidobranchia; Styelidae.
UUGGUUCCAGCAAAACAGGCCUUGUUCUUUUCUUUCUUCCGUAUUUACAAGAAUGCGAAACCGAUCUGCGUGCACAUUUACUCCAUGACGACCAGGGACCAACUUCACAAUCGACUGAAAUUGUAAAUGAUACCCACUUCCGACAGCGGUCAAAUACAAAUGCCUUCAAGAUCAUAAAGUUAACGAGUAUAUAUAUAAAUGUUGAAGCAUGCUAACGAAAAUGGAACGUGACAAGACGUAUCCAGAAUUUUUU